UACGAAGGGGGCUAGCGUUGCUCGGAAUCACUGGGCGUAAAGGGUGCGUAGGCGGGUCUUUAAGUCAGGGGUGAAAUCUGGAGCUCAACUCCAGAACUGCCUUUGAUACUGAAGAUCUUGAGUGCGGGAGAGGUGAGUGGAACUGCGAGUGUAGAGGUGAAAUUCGUAGAUAUUCGCAAGAACACCAGUGGCGAAGGCGGCUCACUGGCCCGAUACUGACGCUGAGGCACGAAAGCGUGGGGAGCAAACAGG
Molecule: ribosomal RNA, 252 nt
Filed under: uncultured bacterium
Lineage: Bacteria
Description: partial 16S ribosomal RNA
Rfam family: Bacterial small subunit ribosomal RNA
Source: RNAcentral